UACGGCUAUAUCACGUUAAAACUGCGGUUCACGUCUGAUCACCGAAAUUAAGCAACGUCGUGUUUGGCCAGUACCUAGAUGGGUAACCCUUGGGAAUACCAGGUGCUA
This is a non-coding RNA of Acanthosepion pharaonis, 108 nucleotides long. Lineage: Eukaryota; Metazoa; Mollusca; Cephalopoda; Sepiida; Sepiidae. The record is from the annotation of a GenBank genome assembly.